Molecule: ribosomal RNA, 1624 nt
Filed under: Polycelis felina
Lineage: Eukaryota; Metazoa; Platyhelminthes; Tricladida; Planariidae
Description: eukaryotic LSU rRNA
Rfam family: Eukaryotic large subunit ribosomal RNA
Source: RNAcentral
AAACUAACAAGGAUUUCCCUGGUAGCGGCGAGCGACCGGGAAUUAGCCCAACACCGAAUCCUGUACCUUAACCGGUAUUGGGAAUUGUAGUGUAAAGGUUGUGUCUUUGACGAAGGAAUCGGCUUCAAAUUCACUUGACUGUGAUUUUUGUCCAUAGAGGGUGUUAGGCCCGUUGGAGUCGACGAUCUUGUUUUUGAUGCUUCCUAUGAGUCGGAUUGUUUGAGAAUGCAGUCCAAAUUGGGUGGUAAACUCCAUCUAAGGCUAAAUACUUGUGUGAGUCCGAUAGCAAACAAGUACCGUGAGGGAAAGUUGAAAAGAACUUUGAAGAGAGAGUUAAAUAGUACGUGAAAUCGCUUAGAGGUAAACGAAUGGAGCCGAUAUGAAUAUAUAGGAUUCAGUUUAUUGUUGAUGGAAUGUUGUUGUUGUAAAUCCGUAAAAAGAUUAUCGAUGACUUCUUGAUUAUUCUGUUGACGAUAGAUGCACUUUCUAUAUUAUUCUUACUGCGACCGUUAGUGACGUCAUUCUGUCGUAGCAUUGAAGGUGGUUUGUUGCUUGCAAUAAAUUUUAUAGCUUGUUACAUGGUUUGAUUAGUUGUAAUGGUGAUUGCGAUUGGCUAAUAUUGAUGAUGAUUGAUGUUUUUUCCGUUGAUUAGGACUCAUUAGAGGCUUAGUUGAUGUGAUUGAUGUCUUUUAUUGUUGAUGGGUUAAUUUAAAGUCUGCAGUGUAUAUGUAGGUUAUCUAUUUGUCCCGUCUUGAAACACGGACCAAGGAGUUUUAUAUGAUCGCGAGUCAAAGGGCCUUACGAAACCCCACGGCGUAAUAAAAGUAAAGGUUGAUUUAUCAGCUAAGAUGUGACCUCGUUGAUUGAUUUAUUGAUUGACAGAGAGCAAUAUCGACCAGUCUAAAGGUGUUCGCAUCUGGGCUGAGUUUGAGCGAUCAUGUAGAGACCCGAAAGAUGGUGAACUAUGCUUGUGCAGAUUGAAGUCAGAGGAAACUCUGAUGGAGGAUCGCAGCGGUUCUGACGUGCAAAUCGAUCGUCGGACAUGAGUAUAGGGGCGAAAGACUAAUCGAACCAUCUAGUAGCUGGUUCCCUCCGAAGUUUCCCUCAGGAUAGCUGGCGUUUAUUUGUUGUAGUUUUACCUGGUAAAGCGAAUGAUUAGAAGUAUUGGGGACGAAAUGUCUUCAACUUAUUCUCAAACUUUAAAUGGGUGCGAAGUGUGACUCUCUUUAAUGGAGUUAUGCAUAGAAUACAAAUGCCUAGUGGGCCAUUUUUGGUAAGCAGAACUGGCGAUGUGGGAUGAACCAAACAUCUAGUUAAGGUGCCUAAAUUUACGCUCAUGAGAAACCACAAAAGGUGUUGGUUGAUUAAGACAGCAGGACGGUGGACAUGGAAGUCGUCAUCCGCUAAGGAGUGUGUAACAACUCACCUGCCGAAUCAACCAGCCCUGAAAAUGGAUGGCGCUGUAGCGUAAUACCUAUACUGGAUCGGUAUGGCAAGUAACAGGUAAGUCAUACCGUGUAGGAGGGUGCCGUGGUUGCUAAAACUACUGGCGUGAGUCAGAGUGGACGCGGUCAGCGGGUACAGAUCCUUGGUAGUAUACAAUUAUUCAAGUGAGAACCUUGAA